This 100-nucleotide non-coding RNA is filed under the name unclassified sequences. The record is from Rfam.
CGCAAUCGCAUAGCGUGACAACACGCGAAAGUCGUCUGAAAUGCCGGUAUCACCUUUGGGUGUGACGACACUCAGCCGAUGAUGCAAAUGCAUCGACACU